This is a long non-coding RNA of Heterocephalus glaber (naked mole-rat), 1378 nucleotides long. Lineage: Eukaryota; Metazoa; Chordata; Mammalia; Rodentia; Bathyergidae. The record is from Ensembl.
UGGGAAUUGAAUAGAUGAGUUUCUUCUGUUCGCUUGGGUUUAUUUCAUAAUAUUCUUUGACUCUUAAAAAAGACUCGUUGGGUGUGGUGGCAAACACCUGUUGUCCCAGCUCUCCUUGAGAGGCUGAAGCAGGAGGAUCAUGAGUCUGACGUCAGCCUCAGCUACAUAGUGAGGCUUUGUCUCAGAACAGUAGUGGCUCACAUGAUUGGUGUGUUCUGUACUAGGCUCUGGAAUGCUAACUUGCCUGUCCCAUGGGUAUAGGUGCUCUCACUGUAAAGCUAAGAGGGGAAAGUCUUGGUAGUGAGUGGCAGAGCCAAGAUUUGAACUAAGGAAUAUCUGCCGUGGGGUCUUGAUUACAUUAAGAUGAAGGAAGAUUUGCUGUGGACCAGAGCAUUACGGCACGGGACAGCUCUAAAGGUGAGUGGAGGGAAAAAACCCUGAGGAAUGGACCAGGUUGACGAGGGCCUCAACCUCCUGAAGGAUAGUGUUUGCUACUAGAUGGAGAAGUGACAACCAGGAGCCAAGUCCUGACAGACCUGGAGCUGGCUGCAGUGGCCCUGGGGGAUUGUCUCCAGGAUCUGGGAAUGGGGAGAAGGGGGGUUCCCAGGUCCUGCACUGCCACAGUCCUGCUCUGGCAGAAGUGGGUACUGUUGCAGAGUUACUUUGAGGGAUAGUCUGACCUGUCUGGCCCCCUUUUACCAGUUGUAACAAGAGUAGCCACACUAAUGUCUCCACCUCUGGGUCCAUGUGCUGAGUGGUGUGGGGUGGCACGUAGCCCAUGAGGCAGGACUUGUGAGUGCUGUCCUGUAGUCUCGGAAGUGCCUGUUGGGUGGGUUACACAGGACCUUAAGACCUGGGAGUUGGAGUAACUUAUGUGAUGGCCCCAUGUCCUAAAUGUUGGCCUCAAGGUGUAGGGAAAGGUGGAGUCUGUGUAGAGGAGUACAUGUUGGUCCAGGGCUGGGUGGGGUAUACAGCUACAUAGCAUUAGGGCUUCUGAGUCUGGUGGUAAGAAGAUCGGGUCUCCAGGAACAAUGAGGAGUGGAGAGCUGGCCAUAGAGGUGCACAUCUGUAACAGCACUCAGGAGGCUCAGGAGUUUGAGGACAUCCUGGGCUACGUAGUGAGUUCAAGGCCAGUUUGGACUGUGUAGCAAGAGCCUGUGUAAAAAUAGGACUGCCCUGGACUGGGGGAUCCAAAGAGGUCAGAGGUCCAGAGGCAGAGAGAGGUCGUCAGGAAUUGGACUUGUAUUGAGGCUGAGGGCCCAGAAGGGAGAAAGGUCGGGAUGUGUUGUCACACCCAAGUGGGGGUGUAGCUGGGGGCCAGCCUUCAUCGGGGAACCAUUGUUUCAUCUGACACGAUCUUGUCCUCAUAGCAGCUGGC